Molecule: ribosomal RNA, 253 nt
Filed under: uncultured bacterium
Lineage: Bacteria
Description: partial 16S ribosomal RNA
Rfam family: Bacterial small subunit ribosomal RNA
Source: RNAcentral
UACGUAGGGUGCGAGCGUUGUCCGGAAUUAUUGGGCGUAAAGGGCUUGUAGGCGGUUUGUCGCGUCUGCUGUGAAAAUCCGGGGCUCAACCCCGGACUUGCAGUGGGUACGGGCAGACUAGAGUGUGGUAGGGGAGACUGGAAUUCCUGGUGUAGCGGUGAAAUGCGCAGAUAUCAGGAGGAACACCGAUGGCGAAGGCAGGUCUCUGGGCCACUACUGACGCUGAGAAGCGAAAGCAUGGGGAGCGAACAGG